This 85-nucleotide transfer RNA is filed under the name Candidatus Gracilibacteria bacterium CG17_big_fil_post_rev_8_21_14_2_50_48_13. RNAcentral describes it as "tRNA-Leu". It matches the Rfam family "tRNA". From Rfam's summary of the family: Transfer RNA (tRNA) molecules are approximately 80 nucleotides in length. Their secondary structure includes four short double-helical elements and three loops (D, anti-codon, and T loops). Lineage: Bacteria; Candidatus Altimarinota. The record is from RNAcentral.
GCCGAAGUGGUGGAAUUGGUAUACACGCGCGACUCAAAAUCGCGUUCCGCAAGGAUUGAGGGUUCGAGUCCCUCCUUCGGCACCA